RNAcentral lists this ribosomal RNA (1172 nucleotides) under Campylobacter jejuni. Its description in RNAcentral is "partial 23S ribosomal RNA". It matches the Rfam family "Bacterial large subunit ribosomal RNA", at positions 1 to 1188 of the family's 2925-position model. The record is from RNAcentral. Lineage: Bacteria; Pseudomonadati; Campylobacterota; Epsilonproteobacteria; Campylobacterales; Campylobacteraceae.
AAAAAAGGUAAGCUACUAAGAGCGAAUGGUGGAUGCCUUGACUGGUAAAGGCGAUGAAGGACGUACUAGACUGCGAUAAGCUACGGGGAGCUGUCAAGAAGCUUUGAUCCGUAGAUUUCCGAAUGGGGCAACCCAAUGUAUAGAGAUAUACAUUACCUAUAUAGGAGCGAACGAGGGGAAUUGAAACAUCUUAGUACCCUCAGGAAAAGAAAUCAAUAGAGAUUGCGUCAGUAGCGGCGAGCGAAAGCGCAAGAGGGCAAACCCAGUGCUUGCACUGGGGGUUGUAGGACUGCAAUGUGCAAGAGGUAAGUUUAGCAGAACAUUCUGGAAAGUAUAACCAUAGAGGGUGAUAGUCCCGUAUGCGAAAAACAAACCUUAGCUAGCAGUAUCCUGAGUAGGGCGGGACACGAGGAAUCCUGUCUGAAUCCGGGUCGACCACGAUCCAACCCUAAAUACUAAUACCAGAUCGAUAGUGUACAAGUACCGUGAGGGAAAGGUGAAAAGAACUGAGGUGAUCAGAGUGAAAUAGAACCUGAAACCAUUUGCUUACAAUCAUUCAGAGCCCUAUGUAGCAAUACAGGGUGAUGGACUGCCUUUUGCAUAAUGAGCCUGCGAGUUGUGGUGUCUGGCAAGGUUAAGCAAACGCGAAGCCGUAGCGAAAGCGAGUCUGAAUAGGGCGCUUAGUCAGAUGCUGCAGACCCGAAACGAAGUGAUCUAUCCAUGAGCAAGUUGAAGCUAGUGUAAGAACUAGUGGAGGACUGAACCCAUAGGCGUUGAAAAGCCCCGGGAUGACUUGUGGAUAGGGGUGAAAGGCCAAUCAAACUUCGUGAUAGCUGGUUCUCUCCGAAAUAUAUUUAGGUAUAGCGUUGUGUCGUAAUAUAAGGGGGUAGAGCACUGAAUGGGCUAGGGCAUACACCAAUGUACCAAACCCUAUCAAACUCCGAAUACCUUAUAUGUAAUCACAGCAGUCAGGCGGCGAGUGAUAAAAUCCGUCGUCAAGAGGGAAACAACCCAGACUACCAGCUAAGGUCCCUAAAUCUUACUUAAGUGGAAAACGAUGUGAAGUUACUUAAACAACCAGGAGGUUGGCUUAGAAGCAGCCAUCCUUUAAAGAAAGCGUAAUAGCUCACUGGUCUAGUGAUUUUGCGCGGAAAAUAUAACGGGGCUAAAGU